AAGGAAAUAUUGUUUAUUAAGAAGCUGCUAACUAUCUUUAUUAAUGGUUAAAUUCCAUUUUUUCCUUA
This 68-nucleotide transfer RNA is filed under the name Meimuna opalifera. Its description in RNAcentral is "tRNA-Ser". The record is from RNAcentral. Lineage: Eukaryota; Metazoa; Arthropoda; Insecta; Hemiptera; Cicadidae.